CACAGGUUUGGUCCUGGCCUUUCCAUUAGCUGUAGGUAAGUCUACACAUGCAAGUAUCCGCCCCCCAGUGAAGAUGCCCCUCAGGCCACCUGGCGGCCAGAAGGAGCAGGCAUCAAGCGCACCACUAAGGUUGCUCAUAACGCCUUGCUUUAGCCACACCCCCACGGGAAACAGCAGUGAUAGAGAUUAAGCAAUGAACGAAAGUUUGACUAAGUUAUGCCUACUGAGGGUUGGUAAAUUUCGUGCCAGCCACCGCGGUCACACGAUUAACCCUAGUUAAUGGACAUACGGCGUAAAGUGUGUUUAAGGAAAUCAUAAAAAUAAAGCUAAACCCUGGCUACGCUGUAAAAAGCCCCAGCCACUGUAAACCCCCCCACGAAAGUGACUUUAUAAUACCUGAAGACACGACAGCUAAGACCCAAACUGGGAUUAGAUACCCCACUAUGCUUAGCCCUAAACCCAUAGGAUUUAAUACAACAAAAUCCUUCGCCAGAGUACUACAAGCCAUAGCUUAAAACUCAAAGGACUUGGCGGUGCUUCACAUCCACCUAGAGGAGCCUGUUCUAUAACCGACAAACCCCGAUAAACCUCACCAACCCUUGCCAACCCAGCCUAUAUACCGCCAUCUUCAGCAAACCCUAAAAAGGAAGCAUAGUAAGCUUAAUCAUAACACGUAAAAACGUUAGGUCAAGGUGUAGCCCAUGGGUUGGGAAGAAAUGGGCUACAUUUCCUUCACCCAGGACAUCCACACGAAAGCCCCUGUGAAACCAGUGGCCAAAGGAGGAUUUAGCAGUAAACUAAGAAUAGAGUGCUCAGUUGAACAAGGCCAUGGAGCACGCACACACCGCCCGUCACCCUCCUCAAAUACCAACAGUACACCCACGACCCUAUCAACAUGUACUAUACCUAUCAGAGGAGACAAGUCGUAACAUGGUAAGCGUACUGGAAAGUGCGCUUGGAUAACC
Molecule: non-coding RNA, 965 nt
Filed under: Diaemus youngi
Lineage: Eukaryota; Metazoa; Chordata; Mammalia; Chiroptera; Phyllostomidae
Description: 12S ribosomal RNA
Rfam family: Bacterial small subunit ribosomal RNA
Source: RNAcentral